UGGAAGUAAAAGUCGUAACAAGGUCUCCGUUGGUGAACCAGCGGAGGGAUCAUU
This 54-nucleotide ribosomal RNA is filed under the name Fusarium sp. RNAcentral's name for it is "partial 18S ribosomal RNA". It matches the Rfam family "Eukaryotic small subunit ribosomal RNA", at positions 1777 to 1830 of the family's 1831-position model. RNAcentral also lists the same sequence under 7 other names. The record is from RNAcentral. Lineage: Eukaryota; Fungi; Ascomycota; Sordariomycetes; Hypocreales; Nectriaceae.